This is a long non-coding RNA of Paramormyrops kingsleyae, 515 nucleotides long. RefSeq lists it as uncharacterized. Lineage: Eukaryota; Metazoa; Chordata; Actinopteri; Osteoglossiformes; Mormyridae. The record is from RefSeq and is a predicted model, not a curated record.
UGUACCACACAGAAAGACAUAAAAUAUAUGAGUGAGUGUGGAUAUAUCUUUCUCAGGUCAUUUCAGUUGCUAUGGGAAAUCGCUUUAUUCAUGUUGCCAGCAUAGUUAUUUAUUCACAUCAGCCUUCACUCUUUGCAGCUUCCCAUCUUCAUUUGAAGCCCCGCCGCUAAGCAGCCAGAUCUCGGCUGUGCUUCGUUCAAAGCAGGUCUUCGUGACGCUCGCUCCUGACCAUCAUAAAUCACACAGCAGCCGCCAGGGAGAUGAAGAGACAGGAGAAGUCCGCAGCCCCCAGAAGCCACCGUACCCGCUUCAUCGUCGUCAGGCUAGAGUAAGAGGAGAAGAUGCUUGAUACUUUAGGCAGAUACCUGAACAACAUGGUCAUCACAACAUAAACCUUCUGGAUGUCUUCUGAAGAAAAGUCAGACUUUGGGUUUGGAUUUCCUUUUCAGGAUCCGACAAUAGGAGUCUGUUAAUCUUGAGAUCCUCCAACUGGAGUUUCAUGUCUUUUACGAUUU